This 161-nucleotide ribosomal RNA is filed under the name uncultured bacterium. RNAcentral describes it as "partial 16S ribosomal RNA". It matches the Rfam family "Bacterial small subunit ribosomal RNA", at positions 358 to 511 of the family's 1533-position model. The record is from RNAcentral.
GGAAUCUUCCACAAUGGACGAAAGUCUGAUGGAGCAACGCCGCGUGAGUGAAGAAGGGUUUCGGCUCGUAAAACUCUGUUGUUAAAGAAGAACACGUAUGAGAGUAACUGUUCAUACGUUGACGGUAUUUAACCAGAAAGUCACGGCUAACUACGUGCCAG